AUUUAUAUAGUUUAUUUAAAACCCUUCAUUUUCAGUGAAUAAAUAAGAAUUUAUUCUUUAUAAAUA
Molecule: transfer RNA, 66 nt
Filed under: Picromerus lewisi
Lineage: Eukaryota; Metazoa; Arthropoda; Insecta; Hemiptera; Pentatomidae
Also listed under: 1 other name
Description: tRNA-Glu
Source: RNAcentral